This 432-nucleotide ribosomal RNA is filed under the name uncultured bacterium. RNAcentral's name for it is "partial 16S ribosomal RNA". It matches the Rfam family "Bacterial small subunit ribosomal RNA", at positions 338 to 795 of the family's 1533-position model. The record is from RNAcentral.
CCUACGGGGGGCAGCAGUAAGGAAUAUUGGUCAAUGGACGCAAGUCUGAACCAGCCAUGCCGCGUGGAGGAUGACGGCCUCUGGGUUGUAAACUCCUUUUAUCUGGGAAGCGGUACCAGAGGAAUAAGCACCGGCUAACUCCGUGCCAGCAGCCGCGGUAAUACGGAGGGUGCAAGCGUUAUCCGGAUUCACUGGGUUUAAAGGGUGCGUAGGUGGAAAGGUAAGUCAGUGGUGAAAUCUCCAAGCUUAACUUGGAAACUGCCGUUGAUACUAUCUUUCUUGAAUAUCGUGGAGGUAAGCGGAAUAUGUCAUGUAGCGGUGAAAUGCUUAGAUAUGACAUAGAACACCGAUUGCGAAGGCAGCUUACUACACGAUAUUGACACUGAGGCACGAAAGCGUGGGGAGCAAACAGGAUUAGAUACCCUUGUAGUC